CGACGACAACAACGGCCGGCCGCAGCAACUUCUUUCUAGGUAUGUCUCCUGAGGCAAGGGAAACAAAAUUUAAAAAUGAACUAUUGGGACCACAUCAAAAUAACAAGCUUCUGCACGACAAAGGAAAUGGUGAACAAAACUGAAGGCAACUUCCAGAAUGGGAGAAGAUACUCACAAAUGACAUGUCUGAUAAAGGGUACCAAGAAGACAAUUGUUUAGGAUGAGAACUCUCUAAAGAAAAUAUUUCUAAUUAGAAACUUUUCCAAAUCAAAAUAUCCAUCAUCUGCCCAUUUCAAUAGUGACUCAGACCAAUAUGGCUCCUUAUAGUUCAACAGAAGAGGCAAGAGACAUCCCAAAGGAGAGUGCAAGAGACACAGCCCCCACAAGAUCCAGAAAGUUCGCACCCAAGAUUGGUUAGCCUAAGAAAGCAAAGGCGUGUGUGGUGUAAACUGUGUCUUCAGUCUCUCAUGAAAAGGUUCUUUGCUUGGUCUGAUGACAUGAAGGAGAUUAACAAAGGAGAAAACAAAUCGUAAUUCUGUAUGUAUGGGAGCUCAUAGAAAUAUGAGACUCAAAGAAGUGACCAAAGCAGAUGGCUUUUCUACCUUUUAGACAAAGAAAUAGUAUAUUUGUGAAGAAUUGACAAGACAAAGAAGUUUGGGCUUGGGGUACUACAUUGGUAAAGUAACAGUGUUUGUUUAUAUGCCUUCUUGGCCCUGAAUUCCCCGUCUUAUAGGUAAGGCACCAUUCAUGUGGGAGAUUUAUUUUUUGCUCUCAGGGGGACAAAGGAGGAUCAAAGUGUCCUUCCUGAAUUGGCUGUUUCUGAAGUAACUUGAAUUCAAAAUAAUCAAGAUGCCAGAACACUGUAUCUGAGGGCAGCCAGCCCUGAACCCCAUCACAGGGUUCCAGCCCCAGCUUUGUCACUGUCUAGCAACGUGAUCAGGCCACUCAGCCUCUAGGGA
Molecule: long non-coding RNA, 959 nt
Organism: Lutra lutra (Eurasian river otter)
Lineage: Eukaryota; Metazoa; Chordata; Mammalia; Carnivora; Mustelidae
Exons: 3
Source: RefSeq, a predicted model, not a curated record